CUUGUGGCAGGGGGCAGUGCUGCAGGGUGAGGGGCUGGUGUCGCCGCCGAGGCCUCUGCCAGUGCCGGCUCCGUCCCGCCUCGCCGAGGGAUGAAACGUGCUUAAGGCCUCUUCGCGCUGAGGGCUCCGCUACGACUCCGCGUUCUUCACCAAGAGAAAUUGAAAGGUUUCUGUCCCCCUACUGGAUCCACACAGAGCCCAGUCCUGGAGAUAGCUUUGUAAAGAAUAACCUCAUUUCAAAACCCAGGCAUCAAUAUUUGGAAGAGCUGCUGAGAAGAAGCUUGUGUGGGGAACUUCUGAUGAAGGACUGAAAAACAAGGAUGCAAAAGGUGAAAUAUUCCUGUGUUAUUCCCAAACCUUGGCCUCAGUUCUGGGCUGUAUUUCAGCACACACCUAAAUACUUUCAUUGAACAGCCGCACCUUCCUAAAUUGAAGCCUUAGUCUGGAAGACAAACAUUCUUCAAACGUUGUUUGGCAGUGUCAGUGCUGGGCACUCACAUCACGCUCUCUGGGGUUUAAAUGUGAGCACCAUGUAAAUACAGUUGACAGAUGCAUCUCUUCAGCAUUCAAAUCCUACCUGGAAAAGCAGAAGCUAAACCAGAAUAUACUGGCCUGAGAUGAAGUGUCCCAUUCCAUUCCCACCAGCUGUGUGUUCGUGCUACAGAGUGAACCCAGAGUUAGGGACAGACAGUGGGGUCUGUCUCAAAGAGUAUCAAAAGCAGGUGCUGUUGCUGUCGGACCAAAGGACAUGGGAAGAACCACAGAACCUGUUGCCAGCGCAGCUCACUAGGACAAGCACAAAUUGUUACCCAGGGAACUAUUGUUAAAACUGUAUGUAUGUGUGUGCACGUGCAUGUAUGACUCCACAAAAUUAUUACUACUUUGAGAAGUCUGACUAUUAAGCAUAAGGCAGAAGCAACUGGUUUGGCACAUCCAGGAAUUCCUAAGAACAUGGUAUGUGAUUUCUGGGACCUGUAUCAGCUGGAAAAGCCUCAUCGUUGAGGAAGGUCACUACCACCUUCUACCAUUCUACAGGAAAGCAAACGUGUCGAAGGAACUAGUUGUUACAUGAUCAACUGUUUCAGGCUUUUAGUUUCAUGCCCAAAUAAAAAAAAAAAAAAAAAGACAUAGUAA
Long non-coding RNA from Calidris pugnax (ruff), 1134 nucleotides. RefSeq lists it as uncharacterized. The record is from RefSeq and is a predicted model, not a curated record. The transcript is spliced from 5 exons. Lineage: Eukaryota; Metazoa; Chordata; Aves; Charadriiformes; Scolopacidae.